CCUACGGGAGGCAGCAGUGAGGAAUAUUGGUCAAUGGGCGCGAGCCUGAACCAGCCAAGCCGCGUGAGGGAAGACGGUGCUAUGGAUUGUAAACCUCUUUUGUCGGGGAGCAAAAGACGCCACGUGUGGCGUUCCGAGAGUACCCGAAGAAAAAGCAUCGGCUAACUCCGUGCCAGCAGCCGCGGUAAUACGGAGGAUGCGAGCGUUAUCCGGAUUUAUUGGGUUUAAAGGGUGCGCAGGCGGAAGAUCAAGUCAGCGGUAAAAUUGAGGGGCUCAACCUCUUCGAGCCGUUGAAACUGGUUGUCUUGAGUGAGCGAGAGGUAUGCGGAAUGCGUGGUGUAGCGGUGAAAUGCAUAGAUAUCACGCAGAACUCCGAUUGCGAAGGCAGCAUACCGGCGCUCAACUGACGCUGAUGCACGAAAGUGUGGGUAUCGAACAGGAUUAGAUACCCCUGUAGUC
Molecule: ribosomal RNA, 459 nt
Filed under: uncultured bacterium
Lineage: Bacteria
Description: partial 16S ribosomal RNA
Rfam family: Bacterial small subunit ribosomal RNA
Source: RNAcentral